CCUACGGGUGGCAGCAGUGGGGAAUAUUGGACAAUGGGGGGAACCCUGAUCCAGCCAUGCCGCGUGUGUGAAGAAGGCCCUCGGGUUGUAAAGCACUUUCAGUGAGGAAGAACGCCUGGUGGUUAAUACCCAUCAGGAAAGACAUCACUCACAGAAGAAGCACCGGCUAACUCCGUGCCAGCAGCCGCGGUAAUACGGAGGGUGCGAGCGUUAAUCGGAAUUACUGGGCGUAAAGCGCGCGUAGGUGGCUUGAUAAGCCGGUUGUGAAAGCCCCGGGCUCAACCCGGGAACGGCAUCCGGAACUGUCAAGCUAGAGUGCAGGAGAGGAAGGUAGAAUUCCCGGUGUAGCGGUGAAAUGCGUAGAGAUCGGGAGGAAUACCAGUGGCGAAGGCGGCCUUCUGGACUGACACUGACACUGAGGUGCGAAAGCGUGGGUAGCAAACAGGAUUAGAUACCCGAGUAGUC
This 465-nucleotide ribosomal RNA is filed under the name Vreelandella stevensii. Its description in RNAcentral is "partial 16S ribosomal RNA". It matches the Rfam family "Bacterial small subunit ribosomal RNA", at positions 338 to 795 of the family's 1533-position model. Lineage: Bacteria; Pseudomonadati; Pseudomonadota; Gammaproteobacteria; Oceanospirillales; Halomonadaceae. The record is from RNAcentral.